Molecule: long non-coding RNA, 1233 nt
Filed under: Equus caballus (horse)
Lineage: Eukaryota; Metazoa; Chordata; Mammalia; Perissodactyla; Equidae
Description: lncRNA (ENSECAG00000048378.1)
Source: RNAcentral
GCACAAACGGGCCUUCCUCCCUUCGCGCCCCCAUAGAUCUACCCUGCCCUAGCCACACCCUCCUGCUUUGUCUUGUCACUUCUCUACGAUCUGUGUCUUCUGUUAAGAUGCUAUGGAAGCCCCCACAUUGGAACCACCACUUUGGAUGCAGUUAAGGUCCCGAAUCGAUGACCCUAAGAAGGAGAUUGUCCUUGGUGGGCCUGAUCUCAUCAGGCAAGCCCUUGAAAGGGACAGGACUCUUCUUGGAGAAUGAGAUUUGCAGGGUGAGGGGGAUUCAGUGAGUGGAAGGUUCUCCGCUGCUGGCUUUGAGGGUGGAAGGGACCCUGUGCCGGGGAACGAGUGACCUCGAGGAGCUGAGUGGCCCUGGCUGACAGCCAGCAAGGAAAUGGUGACCUGCAUCCUGCACCCACCAGGAACCGGAUUCUGCUACAACCACGAGAGCUUGGAAGAGGACCCUGAGCGGCAGCCACCCAGAUGCCCUGGACCCAGGAGGAGCGCUCUGCAUCUUGGCCCUGCAUCUCAUCUGGCUGGUGCCCAAGCUUGGAUGAUGGAUUAUGUGGUCACCCUAUUCUGAAGUCACCUCCCCGACAGCCUCCCGGUCAGGGUGUCUGGUCAAAACGGCCCAAGCAGCAGGUGAAUCUCAGACAUUUGGAACUUUUGACUGUUGUCACAUUCAAGUGUCAAAAAAUAUAUAAAAUGGUGCAUUGCUUUGAUUGCCCUUACAACUUCAGACUCCGCGGUCAGGAACGGGCUGUGGCUUGAGCUGCUGAGCCAAACAGAGACAUUCAGCAGAGAUGUCUAUGCAGACUUGCCUCCUGACUCUGCCAUGAGCAUGCGGAAAGAGCGGUGCUCUCUGGGACUGCAGGUGCCGGCGGUGUGGACCCACACACAGGGACCCUGGCUGCAGCGGUGCUGCCGUUUUCACUCAGCGAGGUGGGGUUUCUCCUGCCUCGACUGAUCGUCAGAACUCAUGCUCAUCUGAUGGUUGAUGUGCUUUUGUGUUUUUGUUACCAGGAAUGAGGAAUGGCCUUGAUGGACCCCUAGUUCCCUUAUUAAAUGUUACUGCUGUGAAUGGCUAAGGAGGAAAGAGACCCCCGUAACAGUGGUUGCUGACCCGGAGAGGAAGUGGGUGCCUGGCCCCAGGGGGCAGAGGGACGCUUACUUUUAUUCUUUGUUCCAUUUGAACUUUGUACUGUGUACAAGUAUUGCCUAUCAAAAAUAAAUUAAUAAUAG